RNAcentral lists this ribosomal RNA (605 nucleotides) under uncultured Planctomycetia bacterium. RNAcentral describes it as "bacterial SSU rRNA". It matches the Rfam family "Bacterial small subunit ribosomal RNA", at positions 409 to 915 of the family's 1533-position model. The record is from RNAcentral. Lineage: Bacteria; Pseudomonadati; Planctomycetota; Planctomycetia.
UGAAACUCAAAGGAAUUGACGGCCGUCAAUUCCUUUAAGUUUGUAGCGCGGAUCGUUGAAGACUUCGAGACUAGUCGUCUCGCCGGGAAAUCCGCCUCCCCUGCUGCCUCCAACUGCUGUCACGCUCUAGGAACCCCGCGUCGUGAAUAACGGCGCGGCUGACUAAGGCGAAAGGAAGUGGCGGCUAACUCUGUGCCAGCAGCCGCGGUAAGACAGAGGCCACGAACGUUGUUCGGAAUCACUGGGCAUAAAGCGCACGUAGGCGGCUAGGUCCGUCCGAUGUGAAAGCCCCGGGCUCAACCGGGGAAUUGCAUCGGAUACAGCCUGGCUUGAGGACGGUUGGGGUGAGUGGAACUCCUGGUGGAGCGGUGAAAUGCGUAGAUAUCAGGAGGAACACCGGUGGCGAAAGCGGCUCACUGGACCGUUACUGACGCUAAUGUGCGAAAGCUAGGGGAGCAAACGGGAUUAGAUACCCCGGUAGUCCUAGCCGUAAACGAUGGGCACUGGGUAGGGGGGAAGCCUAUGCUCUUCCCUGCCGAAGCAAAUGUGUUAAGUGCCCCGCCUGGGGAGUACGCUCGCAAGGGUAAAACUUAAAGGAAUUGACG